AAUCUGAAGACGUGAUGUGGACUGAAAAUAAGUAGGGAAGCACGUGAGCUGACUGUCAAGAAAAGCCGCUAUUGUUUGCAGGAUACCCGUACCGUAAACCGACACAGGUGGAUGAGGAGAGAAUCCUAAGGCCGACGGGAGAAGCAUUGUUAAGGAACUCGGCAAAAUGACUCCGUAACUUCGGGAGAAGGAGUGCCAGUAAGAUGGCCGCAGAGAAUUGGCCCAAGCAACUGUUUAGCAAAAACACAGGUCUAUGCAAAACCGAAAGGUGAGGUAUAUGGGCUGACGCCUGCCCGGUGCUGGAAGGUUAAGGGGAGAGGUUAGCGCAAGCGAAGCUUUGAACUUAAGCCCCAGUAAACGGCGGCCGUAACUAUAACGGUCCUAAGGUAGCGAAAUUCCUUGUCGGGUAAGUUCCGACCCGCACGAAAGGCGUAAUGAUUUGAGCGCUGUCUCGACAAUGCAUCCGGUGAAAUUGAAGUACCAGUGAAGAUGCUGGUUACCUGCGCCAGGACGGAAAGACCCCAUGGAGCUUUACUCCAGUUUGGUACUGGGGUCCGGUAUUGCAUGUACAGGAUAGGUGGGAGGCUAGGAAGCAGUAACGCCAGUUGCUGCGGAGCCGCUGUUGGGAUACCACCCUUGCAGUACUGGGCUUCUAACCAGCCGCCGUGAACCGGCGGUGGGACAAUGCCAGACGGGGAGUUUGACUGGGGCGGUCGCCUCCGAAAGGGUAUCGGAGGCGCCCAAAGGUUCCCUCAGAAUGGACGGAAACCAUUCGAAGAGUGCAAAGGCAGAAGGGAGCUUGACUGCGACACCGACGGGUGGAGCAGGUACGAAAGUAGGGCUUAGUGAUCCGGUGGUAUUAAGUGGGAAUGCCAUCGCUCAACGGAUAAAAGCUACCCUGGGGAUAACAGGCUUAUCACUCCCAAGAGUUCACAUCGACGGAGUGGUUUGGCACCUCGAUGUCGGCUCAUCGCAUCCUGGGGCUGUAGUAGGUCCCAAGGGUUGGGCUGUUCGCCCAUUAAAGCGGUACGCGAGCUGGGUUCAGAACGUCGUGAGACAGUUCGGUCCCUAUCCGGCGUGGGCGUAGGAUAUCUGAGAGGAGCUGUCCUUAGUACGAGAGGACCGGGAUGGACGGACCGCUGGUGUACCGGUUAGACUGCCAAGUCUACGGCCGGGUAGCCAAGUCCGGAAGGGAUAAACGCUGAAGGCAUCUAAGCGUGAAGCCCCCCUCAAGAUGAGAUGUCCCAUUCGAAAGAAGUAAACCCCCUUGAAGACGACGAGGUAGAUAGGGCAGGGGUGGAAGUGUGGUAACACACGGAGCUGACUGUUACUAAUAGGGUGAGGGCUUGACCAA
This 1354-nucleotide ribosomal RNA is filed under the name Mediterraneibacter torques. Its description in RNAcentral is "bacterial LSU rRNA". It matches the Rfam family "Bacterial large subunit ribosomal RNA", at positions 1552 to 2925 of the family's 2925-position model. The record is from RNAcentral. Lineage: Bacteria; Bacillati; Bacillota; Clostridia; Lachnospirales; Lachnospiraceae.